CAAGGAAUGUGGAAACAAAUGUAGAAACAUAUGAGGAGUGCAAUUGGAUAACAACAAUUCAUGGGGAUGCUCUCGUAGUCAAAAACACAAUAUGAGACUAAUAAUCUUUAAUUGUGGAUAAUGAGAUGUGGGAUUCCAUGAUUGAGAGGGUGAAGUAUGAAUAUACAAGAAAGAAGAACGUCAAUUGUCUGAAU
Molecule: RNA transcript, 194 nt
Organism: Arabidopsis thaliana (thale cress)
Lineage: Eukaryota; Viridiplantae; Streptophyta; Magnoliopsida; Brassicales; Brassicaceae
Exons: 2
Source: RefSeq